This 206-nucleotide ribosomal RNA is filed under the name Salmonella enterica subsp. enterica serovar Typhimurium. RNAcentral describes it as "partial 16S ribosomal RNA". It matches the Rfam family "Bacterial small subunit ribosomal RNA", at positions 1340 to 1533 of the family's 1533-position model. The record is from RNAcentral. RNAcentral also lists the same sequence under 1 other name. Lineage: Bacteria; Pseudomonadati; Pseudomonadota; Gammaproteobacteria; Enterobacterales; Enterobacteriaceae.
AAUCGUGGAUCAGAAUGCCACGGUGAAUACGUUCCCGGGCCUUGUACACACCGCCCGUCACACCAUGGGAGUGGGUUGCAAAAGAAGUAGGUAGCUUAACCUUCGGGAGGGCGCUUACCACUUUGUGGUUCAUGACUGGGGUGAAGUCGUAACAAGGUAACCGUAGGGGAACCUGCGGUUGGAUCACCUCCUUACCUUAAAGAAGC